RNAcentral lists this ribosomal RNA (935 nucleotides) under Pseudobiceros sp. JB-2016. RNAcentral describes it as "partial large subunit ribosomal RNA". It matches the Rfam family "Eukaryotic large subunit ribosomal RNA", at positions 107 to 851 of the family's 3401-position model. Lineage: Eukaryota; Metazoa; Platyhelminthes; Polycladida; Pseudocerotidae. The record is from RNAcentral.
GCCCAGCACCGAAUCCUUCACCAUCUCGGUGACAGGAAAUGUGGUGUUUAGGCCGUACCUUGUCCCGAUACGUCUCUCCUCAAGUCCACUUGAUUGUGGCCCCAGGCCCAGAGAGGGUGUAAGGCCCGUGGAGGCGAGACGUUCGGUACCCGGUGCGUCCUUAGAGUCGGGUUGUUUGGGAAUGCAGCCCUAAGCGGGUGGUAAACUCCAUCCAAGGCUAAAUACCAGCACGAGUCCGAUAGCGAAGAAGUACCGCGAGGGAAGGUUGAAAAGAACUUUGAAGAGAGAGUUCAAGAGUACGUGAAACCGCUGAGAGGCAAACUGGUGGAACUGAAAUGGUCCCGAGGAAUUCAGCCGUUGGUGGGGACACAGUCUUUGGUGCUUGAUUUAACGACAACGCCUUUGACUGACGUGUCUAUCAUCGGUGCACUUUCCUCGUUAUGGGCCCGACCACGACCGGUGAGCUGAUCUGUCUGUCGUGCUUGGAAGAUAGCGCCGUCUUCGGAAGGCGUGUUAUAGACUUGCAUACGGAGCAGUCGGCGCACUGGAUGAUAGUGCCUGCCCAUUGGGCUCAUAUGGUGGUUGUUUUGACGGCGAGUUCUGAUGUCACUACUUCGGUAGAGUCGUUAGACUGUGUUGGCCUUAUGACUGUCCUCUAUGAUUGGCACUGGUAAGUCUGUGGUUGUGAAGUAGGUAGUCCACCUGACCCGUCUUGAAACACGGACCAAGGAGUCUAACAUGUGCGCGAGUCAUUGGGUUCACGAAACCUAAAGGCGCAGUGAAGGUAAAGAUCUGUUUUGGCAGAUUGAGGUGGGAUGCUGGGUUACGCGCCCAGCCGCACUACCGGCCCGUUCUAUAUGUAUCUCAUAGGAGCGGAGCAAGAGCGUACACGUUGGGACCCGAAAGAUGGUGAACUAUGCUUGCGCAGGUCGAAG